This 253-nucleotide ribosomal RNA is filed under the name uncultured bacterium. Its description in RNAcentral is "partial 16S ribosomal RNA". It matches the Rfam family "Bacterial small subunit ribosomal RNA", at positions 524 to 776 of the family's 1533-position model. The record is from RNAcentral.
UACGUAGGGCGCAAGCGUUAUCCGGAGUUACUGGGCGUAAAGGGCGCGUAGGCGGUUCGCUAAGUUGGAUGUGAAAACUCUGGGCUCAACCCAGAGCCUGCAUCCAAAACUGGCGGGCUAGAGUUCUGGAGGGGGUAGCGGAAUUCCUGGUGUAGCGGUGAAAUGCGUAGAUAUCAGGAGGAACACCGGUGGCGAAGGCGGCUACCUGGACAGAAACUGACGAUGAGGCGCGAAAGCUAGGGGAGCAAACAGG